UGAGAGAUAUCAAACAUCCAAAAUCAUCUGAGGAAAACCUAAAAAGGUAUAUUUCAACUCAGGAAAAUCUGACUCCACAGGGGGACCAAAAGUCAUAAUAGGGAGCAGAGGGGAAGGAACACCAGGGAUGCCGGUUACUGGGCAUAUAAUAGGUGACCGACCAGGGCAUGAAUUGGGGAAUAUUUCCAAGACACUUAUC
RNAcentral lists this long non-coding RNA (199 nucleotides) under Lathyrus oleraceus (garden pea). Its description in RNAcentral is "Pisum sativum (pea) long non-coding RNA (PSAT_LNC025311)". Lineage: Eukaryota; Viridiplantae; Streptophyta; Magnoliopsida; Fabales; Fabaceae. The record is from RNAcentral.